UGCGGGGUGGAGCAGUCUGGUAGCUCGUCAGGCUCAUAACCUGAAGGUCCCUGGUUCGAAUCCAGGCCCCGCUACCA
Molecule: transfer RNA, 77 nt
Filed under: PVC group bacterium
Lineage: Bacteria; Pseudomonadati
Description: tRNA-Met
Rfam family: tRNA
About the family: Transfer RNA (tRNA) molecules are approximately 80 nucleotides in length.
Source: RNAcentral